Molecule: ribosomal RNA, 544 nt
Filed under: uncultured archaeon
Lineage: Archaea
Description: bacterial SSU rRNA
Rfam family: Bacterial small subunit ribosomal RNA
Source: RNAcentral
CAGCAGCCGCGGUAAGACGGAGGAGGCAAGCGUUGUCCGGAAUUAUUGGGCGUAAAGAGCGCGUAGGCGGUUUUCCAAGUCAUAUGUGAAAACUUUAGGCUUAACCUAAAGAUUGCAUGUGAAACUGGAUAACUAGAGUACGGCAGAGGAAAGUGGAAUUCCUGGUGUAGCGGUGAAAUGCGCAGAUAUCAGGAAGAACACCAGUGGCGAAGGCGGCUUUCUAGGCCGUUACUGACGCUGAGGCGCGAAAGCUAGGGGAGCGAACAGGAUUAGAUACCCUGGUAGUCCUAGCCGUAAACGAUGGACACUAGGUGUGGGAAGUUAUCGACGCUUUCUGUGCCGAAGCUAACGCAUUAAGUGUCCCGCCUGGGGAGUACGGCCGCAAGGCUAAAACUCAAAGGAAUUGACGGGGGCCCGCACAAGCGGCGGAGCAUGUGGCUUAAUUCGACGCAACGCGAAGAACCUUACCAAGGCUUGACAUCAUACUGACGGUUGUUAGAAAUACAACUUCUCUUCGGAGCAGUAUGACAGGAGGUGCAUGGCC